This 1317-nucleotide ribosomal RNA is filed under the name Salmonella enterica subsp. enterica serovar Ohio. Its description in RNAcentral is "partial 23S ribosomal RNA". It matches the Rfam family "Bacterial large subunit ribosomal RNA", at positions 918 to 2215 of the family's 2925-position model. Lineage: Bacteria; Pseudomonadati; Pseudomonadota; Gammaproteobacteria; Enterobacterales; Enterobacteriaceae. The record is from RNAcentral.
GCUAGGGGGCCAUCCCGGCUUACCAACCCGAUGCAAACUGCGAAUACCGGAGAAUGUUAUCACGGGAGACACACGGCGGGUGCUAACGUCCGUCGUGAAGAGGGAAACAACCCAGACCGCCAGCUAAGGUCCCAAAGUCAUGGUUAAGUGGGAAACGAUGUGGGAAGGCCCAGACAGCCAGGAUGUUGGCUUAGAAGCAGCCAUCAUUUAAAGAAAGCGUAAUAGCUCACUGGUCGAGUCGGCCUGCGCGGAAGAUGUAACGGGGCUAAACCAUGCACCGAAGCUGCGGCAGCGACGCUGAUGCGUUGUUGGGUAGGGGAGCGUUCUGUAAGCCUGCGAAGGUGGCCUGUGAGGGUUGCUGGAGGUAUCAGAAGUGCGAAUGCUGACAUAAGUAACGAUAAAGCGGGUGAAAAGCCCGCUCGCCGGAAGACCAAGGGUUCCUGUCCAACGUUAAUCGGGGCAGGGUGAGUCGACCCCUAAGGCGAGGCCGAAAGGCGUAGUCGAUGGGAAACGGGUUAAUAUUCCCGUACUUGGUGUUACUGCGAAGGGGGGACGGAGAAGGCUAUGUUGGCCGGGCGACGGUUGUCCCGGUUUAAGCGUGUAGGUGUGUGUUCCAGGUAAAUCCGGUUCACUUUAACACUGAGGCGUGAUGACGAGGCACUACGGUGCUGAAGCAACAAAUGCCCUGCUUCCAGGAAAAGCCUCUAAGCAUCAGGUAACAUCAAAUCGUACCCCAAACCGACACAGGUGGUCAGGUAGAGAAUACCAAGGCGCUUGAGAGAACUCGGGUGAAGGAACUAGGCAAAAUGGUGCCGUAACUUCGGGAGAAGGCACGCUGACACGUAGGUGAAGUGAUUUACUCAUGGAGCUGAAGUCAGUCGAAGAUACCAGCUGGCUGCAACUGUUUAUUAAAAACACAGCACUGUGCAAACACGAAAGUGGACGUAUACGGUGUGACGCCUGCCCGGUGCCGGAAGGUUAAUUGAUGGGGUCAGCGCAAGCGAAGCUCCUGAUCGAAGCCCCGGUAAACGGCGGCCGUAACUAUAACGGUCCUAAGGUAGCGAAAUUCCUUGUCGGGUAAGUUCCGACCUGCACGAAUGGCGUAAUGAUGGCCAGGCUGUCUCCACCCGAGACUCAGUGAAAUUGAACUCGCUGUGAAGAUGCAGUGUACCCGCGGCAAGACGGAAAGACCCCGUGAACCUUUACUAUAGCUUGACACUGAACAUUGAGCCUUGAUGUGUAGGAUAGGUGGGAGGCUUUGAAGUGUGGACGCCAGUCUGCAUGGAGCCGACCUUGAAAUACCACCCUUUAAUGUUU